Molecule: ribosomal RNA, 496 nt
Filed under: uncultured bacterium
Lineage: Bacteria
Description: bacterial SSU rRNA
Rfam family: Bacterial small subunit ribosomal RNA
Source: RNAcentral
CUGGCGGCGUGCUUAACACAUGCAAGUCGAGCGAGAAAGCACCUCGGGUGUGAGUACAGCGGCGAACGGGUGAGUAACACGUGGGCAACCUGCCCUAGAGACUGGGAUAACGUCCCGAAAGGGACGCUAAUACCGGAUGAUGCGUGACCUGCCAAGUAGGUCACGCCAAAUGGUAGCUUCGGCCUCUGCUCUGGGAUGGGCCCGCGCCGGAUUAGCUUGUUGGUGAGGUAAUGGCUCACCAAGGCGACGAUCCGUAGCUGGUCUGAGAGGACGAUCAGCCACACUGGGACUGAGACACGGCCCAGACUCCUACGGGAGGCAGCAGUGGGGAAUCUUGCGCAAUGGGCGAAAGCCUGACGCAGCAACGCCGCGUGAGCCGAAGACGGCCUUCGGGUUGUAAAGCUCUGUCAGGAGGGACGAAGCCACUCAGGUGAAUAGCCGAGAGGGUGACGGUACCUCCAGAGGAAGCCCCGGCUAACUACGUGCCAGCCGCCGC